AAUUGCCUACGGGGGGCAGCAGUGGGGAAUUUUGCGCAAUGGGGGAAGCCCUGACGCAGCAACGCCGCGUGCGGGACGAAGGCCCUCGGGCUGUAAACCGCUCUCAGCAGGGAAGACAUCGACGGUACCUGCAGAAGAAGCUCCGGCUAACUACGUGCCAGCAGCCGCGGUAAUACGUAGGGGGCGAGCGUUAUCCGGAUUCAUUGGGCGUAAAGCGCGCGUAGGCGGCCGCCUAAGCGGAACUUCUAACCCCGGGGCUCAACCUCGGGCCGGGUUCCGGACUGGGCGGCUC
Molecule: ribosomal RNA, 292 nt
Filed under: uncultured bacterium
Lineage: Bacteria
Description: partial 16S ribosomal RNA
Rfam family: Bacterial small subunit ribosomal RNA
Source: RNAcentral